CCUACGGGUGGCAGCAGUGAGGAAUAUUGGUCAAUGGGCGGGAGCCUGAACCAGCCAAGUCGCGUGAGGGAAGACGGUCCUACGGAUUGUAAACCUCUUUUGCCGGGCAGCAACGGGGUCCUUGCGAGGGCCCGAUGAGAGUACCCGGAGAAAAAGCCUCGGCUAACUCCGUGCCAGCAGCCGCGGUAAUACGGAGGAUGCGGGGGUUAUCCGGUUUUAUUGGGUUUAAGGGGUGCUUAGGCGGGCUGUUAAGUCAGCGGUCAAAUGUCGGGGCUCAACCCCGGACUGCCGUGGAAACUGGCGGCCUCGAGUGGGCGAGAAGUAUGCGGAAUGCGUGGUGUAGCGGUGAAAUGCAUAGAUAUCACGAAGAACUCCGAUUGCGAAGGCAGCAUACCGGAGCGCGACUGACGCUGAGGCACGAAGGCGUGGGUAUCGAACAGGAUUAGAUACCCUAGUAGUC
This 460-nucleotide ribosomal RNA is filed under the name uncultured bacterium. RNAcentral's name for it is "partial 16S ribosomal RNA". It matches the Rfam family "Bacterial small subunit ribosomal RNA", at positions 338 to 795 of the family's 1533-position model. The record is from RNAcentral.